GACGAACGCUGGCGGCGUGCUUAACACAUGCAAGUCGAACGGAAAGACCCUGCUUUUGUGGGGUGCUCGAGCGGCGAACGGGUGAGUAACACGUGAGUAACCUGCCCUUGACUUUAGGAUAACUUCAGGAAACUGGGGCUAAUACCGGAUAGGAGCUCCUGCUGCAUGGUGGGGGUUGGAAAGUUUCGGCGGUUGGGGAUGGACUCGCGGCUUAUCAGCUUGUUGGUGGGGUAGUGGCUUACCAAGGCUUUGACGGGUAGCCGGCCUGAGAGGGUGACCGGCCACAUUGGGACUGAGAUACGGCCCAGACUCCUACGGGAGGCAGCAGUGGGGAAUAUUGCACAAUGGGCGGAAGCCUGAUGCAGCAACGCCGCGUGCGGGAUGACGGCCUUCGGGUUGUAAACCGCUUUCGCCUGUGACGAAGCGUGAGUGACGGUAAUGGGUAAAGAAGCACCGGCUAACUACGUG
RNAcentral lists this ribosomal RNA (468 nucleotides) under uncultured bacterium. Its description in RNAcentral is "partial 16S ribosomal RNA". It matches the Rfam family "Bacterial small subunit ribosomal RNA", at positions 28 to 507 of the family's 1533-position model. The record is from RNAcentral.